This 306-nucleotide ribosomal RNA is filed under the name uncultured Peredibacter sp. RNAcentral's name for it is "bacterial SSU rRNA". It matches the Rfam family "Bacterial small subunit ribosomal RNA", at positions 1033 to 1340 of the family's 1533-position model. The record is from RNAcentral. Lineage: Bacteria; Pseudomonadati; Bdellovibrionota; Bacteriovoracia; Bacteriovoracales; Bacteriovoracaceae.
GACAGGUGCUGCAUGGCUGUCGUCAGCUCGUGUUGUGAAAUGUUGGGUUAAGUCUCGCAACGAGCGCAACCCCUAUCUUUAGUUGCCAGCAUUAAGUUGGGCACUCUAGAGAGACUGCCCGGGUUAACCGGGAGGAAGGUGGGGAUGACGUCAAGUCCUCAUGGCCCUUAUGCCUAGGGCUACACACGUAAUACAAUGGUAUGCACAAUGGGACGCGAACCAGCGAUGGGGAGCAAAUCUCAAAAAGCAUAUCCCAGUCCGGAUUGGAGUCUGCAACUCGACUCCAUGAAGUUGGAAUCGCUAGUA